Molecule: ribosomal RNA, 571 nt
Filed under: Beauveria bassiana
Lineage: Eukaryota; Fungi; Ascomycota; Sordariomycetes; Hypocreales; Cordycipitaceae
Description: eukaryotic LSU rRNA
Rfam family: 5.8S ribosomal RNA (bases 207-360)
Source: RNAcentral
GUCGUAACAAGGUCUCCGUUGGUGAACCAGCGGAGGGAUCAUUACCGAGUUUUCAACUCCCAAACCCUUAUGUGAACCUACCUAUCGUUGCUUCGGCGGACUCGCCCCAGCCGGACGCGGACUGGACCAGCGGCCGCCGGGGACCAUCAAACUCUUGUAUUAUCAGCAUCUUCUGAAUACGCCGCAAGGCAAAACAAAUAAAUUAAAACUUUCAACAACGGAUCUCUUGGCUCUGGCAUCGAUGAAGAACGCAGCGAAAUGCGAUAAGUAAUGUGAAUUGCAGAAUCCAGUGAAUCAUCGAAUCUUUGAACGCACAUUGCGCCCGCCAGCAUUCUGGCGGGCAUGCCUGUUCGAGCGUCAUUUCAACCCUCGACCUCCCUUUGGGGAAGUCGGCGUUGGGGACCGGCAGCACACCGCCGGCCCUGAAAUGGAGUGGCGGCCCGUCCGCGGCGACCUCUGCGUAGUAAACCAACUCGCACCGGAACCCCGACGUGGCCACGCCGUAAAACACCCAACUUCUGAACGUUGACCUCGAAUCAGGUAGGACUACCCGCUGAACUUAAGCAUAUCA